RNAcentral lists this ribosomal RNA (497 nucleotides) under uncultured bacterium. RNAcentral describes it as "partial 16S ribosomal RNA". It matches the Rfam family "Bacterial small subunit ribosomal RNA", at positions 28 to 507 of the family's 1533-position model. The record is from RNAcentral.
GAUGAACGCUGGCGGCGUGCCUAAUACAUGCAAGUCGAGCGAACAGACGAGGAGCUUGCUCCUCUGACGUUAGCGGCGGACGGGUGAGUAACACGUGGAUAACCUACCUAUAAGACUGGGAUAACUUCGGGAAACCGGAGCUAAUACCGGAUAAUAUAUUGAGCCGCAUGGUUCAAUAGUGAAAGACGGUUUUGCUGUCACUUAUAGAUGGAUCCGCGCCGCAUUAGCUAGUUGGUAAGGUAACGGCUUACCAAGGCAACGAUGCGUAGCCGACCUGAGAGGGGGAUCGGCCACACUGGAACUGAGACACGGUCCAGACUCCUACGGGAGGCAGCAGUAGGGAAUCUGCCGCAAUGGGCGAAAGCCUGACGGAGCAACGCCGCGUGAGUGAUGAAGGUCUUCGGAUCGUAAAACUCUGUUAUUAGGGAAGAACAAAUGUGUAAGUAACUAUGCACGUCUUGACGGUACCUAAUCAGAAAGCCACGGCUAACUACGUG